Molecule: long non-coding RNA, 1969 nt
Organism: Aedes albopictus (Asian tiger mosquito)
Lineage: Eukaryota; Metazoa; Arthropoda; Insecta; Diptera; Culicidae
Exons: 2
Source: RefSeq, a predicted model, not a curated record
GUCAGCAAGCUCUACACGGAAAAAUAUUAUAACCCAAAGAAUAAGUUUUAAAAACUCAAAUUUGACUAAACUGCUUAAAGUUUUAACUCAAAGUUGGGUUGUUUUCUCCCUCGCCCCACCGCAAUGUUUUCGAAAACAAAGAGAGAAGCACCGACGCAUCCGCUGCUCUUCCGUAAAAGAAGCCGAAUUUGGGUUUUCUUGAGUUAACCCAAAUUUGCGUCAAUUGAGGCCUCCGUUGGGUGGAAAUAACUCACCACUGGGUUAUUUUUUUUGGCGCUCUCAAACGAGAACUACUCACUCGCCACUAUCGCUAUUUGACGCAAAUUUGAGAAAUUCCACGGAAGACCGGGAUUGCGUCAAAACAACUUAAAUUUGGGUUCUUUUGUAGUUCCGUGUACACGGAGAGACGAAACUACCCAAAAGUGAGUUCUUUCCACCCAACUUCGGGGUUGCGUGCGUCAAGCCAAUUUUGAGUUGAUGGAAUCGAUGUUUUUGUUGGGUUGUUCCCGCUUGCUGCCAUGUGAAAAAAAUACCUAAUUUUAAGUUUUUUCCACUCAACCGAAAUUUUGACUAGGUUGUAUUCACUCAAAUUUGAGUACUGUGCUAGAAACUCAGUUUUGGCUUGACGCACGGAACUGCAAAAGUUGGGCUGUUUCUCUCUUCACUCUCUGACAACAACAGAAAGAGCGCAUGAAAAGGGAGAUGAGAAAGAACUCAAAAUUGAGUUUAAAAGUACCUAAUUUUGAGUUUUUCAGUUUCUCCGUGUAUAUAUAUAUAUACACGCUAAGGUCAGUUUACCCAAAUAUGGGUAACCUUUACUCAUAAUCGCUGAAAAGUGCACAACCUCAUUUUAUGGGUAAAGGCCCUUUACUCAUAUUUGAGUAAGAUAAAUAUAUCAUGAAUAUUGGUAAUAUUUACCCAUAUUGAAGUUUUUCCAGGGGGCCAGCGAAAGCCAAAAUCACCGUAGCUCACAACAAAAACACGUCCAAAAUUGUUUGUGCUCACGGUUGUUUGCGAAAACCCAUUGAUGGGUACAAAAACACCCAUUUUCGAGUAUCUUGCAGAUCUGUCGAAACAUGCGUAAAAUCAAUAAUACAAAAAGAGUAAAAAAAUACCCAUGUUUGGAAACCAUCCUUCACCCCAUUAAUGGGUGAAGAAUAGUUGUAAAAGUUCGUCGUCGCUUCCUCGUUUGUCAUCUUCAGUCUCAACUAUUUAGAAGUUAAUUAUUCCCACGAUACUACUUUUAUAUUUUGGCGAAUCAUGUUCCGGUUCACAUAAAAAGUUACGCCAUCAAGAACCAGAUGUUUUGCAUGAUGUCUUCAAGGCGAAUUUCAAUGCUCCCGGAACAAAGUCCGCUGCAUCUGUUCUAAGUGGAUGCAUCAGACGCACAGCAGGACCUAGACUAGACCAGGUUCCGAAAGCCUUGAGCCUUAUCGCAAUCCUACUAAAUGGAUCCAGUUCUGUGCAGCGACUGAAUGGAAUCUGAUGGGACGCCAAAGAACUUGACUGGGAGAAUCCGGAGAAACUUGAGCAAGUGAAUAUGUUUUUAACAAGUUAAUGUUGUAUUAUAUGUUUAUUAUGUAAUAGGACAGACCGGUGAAGUACUAGAUUUGUAGUAAUGAGCUGAAUUUUAGUAUGGUGAGAAGGUCAAUUCUCCAUUUCUGUAAUGAAAUGUUGCAAAAAGCGUGGGUAUCAUGAUUCCUUGUCUAAUUUGAUGCUGUUUGAGCAAAACUUAGGGCAACAGAGUUGUUGUUUUCUUCAUUUCUUGCAACAUAAACAACACAGUUAUCCAAAGUUUUGCUCAAACAACAUCAAAUUAGGCAAGGAAUCAUAAUACCCACGCUUUUUGAACCAUUUCUUUGCAGAAACGGAGAAUUGACCUUCUCACCAUACAAAAAUUCAGCUCAUUACUACAAAUCUAGUACUACACCGAACGUGCCCCAAUCAAAUAAAGCUCAUACAAAUCUGG